AGCGAACGCUGGCGGCAGGCCUAACACAUGCAAGUCGAACGAACCUUUCGGGGUUAGUGGCGGACGGGUGAGUAACACGUGGGAACGUGCCUUUAGGUUCGGAAUAACUCAGGGAAACUUGUGCUAAUACCGAAUGUGCCCUUCGGGGGAAAGAUUUAUCGCCUUUAGAUCGGCCCGCGUCGGAUUAGCUAGUUGGUUGAGGUAAUGGCUCACCAAGGCGACGAUCAGUAGCUGGUCUGAGAGGAUGAUCAGCCACAUUGGGACUGAGACACGGCCCAAACUCCUACGGGAGGCAGCAGUGGGGAAUCUUGCGCAAUGGGCGAAAGCCUGACGCAGCCAUGCCGCGUGAAUGAUGAAGGUCUUAGGAUUGUAAAAUUCUUUCACCGGGGACGAUAAUGACGGUACCCGGAGAAGAAGCCCCGGCUAACUUCGUG
RNAcentral lists this ribosomal RNA (434 nucleotides) under uncultured bacterium. Its description in RNAcentral is "partial 16S ribosomal RNA". It matches the Rfam family "Bacterial small subunit ribosomal RNA", at positions 29 to 507 of the family's 1533-position model. The record is from RNAcentral.